This is a long non-coding RNA of Lagopus muta (rock ptarmigan), 283 nucleotides long. RefSeq lists it as uncharacterized. Lineage: Eukaryota; Metazoa; Chordata; Aves; Galliformes; Phasianidae. The record is from RefSeq and is a predicted model, not a curated record. The transcript has 3 exons.
CUUGCGGACGCCAUCUUGUAGGUGGGCAGAUCCUUAGUAAGGCGAGGCGUUCUUGAGCGGGAGAAUUUGAGAUGGACAGAGCGCAGCCAUAUCUGUGGAUGUCUGGAGCACACUGAGGAUUGCCCUGUCAGGAGGACAGCAAUGAAUGUACAGCUGUAGCACUUUAAUAUCAGUUAUGCUUCAGAUGGGGCCAGCAGGUACGCUCACAAUGGAGAGAUGCGCUGCGGAAUUCCACCAACUGUUUCAGGAAUGCACGUGCUACUCUGUUACGCAAAGAAACCCA